Molecule: long non-coding RNA, 476 nt
Filed under: Populus trichocarpa (black cottonwood)
Lineage: Eukaryota; Viridiplantae; Streptophyta; Magnoliopsida; Malpighiales; Salicaceae
Description: long non-coding RNA (PTRI_LNC001163)
Source: RNAcentral
CACCACACUGCGAGUAAACUUUGUCUUAGAAGUAAAGGGAUGCUGUAAAUCUGAGGAAGUGUUUUAAGUACGUACUUGAAACCAGCCGAUUUUCUAAGCUUCUAUUUGUGUGCCGAUUAACCUAGAAAUUUGAGCUCAUUACUUUUCCGUCUGCAAUUCUUCACUUGGUUGCUUUAUUGGAAAAAACAUUAAUUUCUUCAAUCUGCACACACAAGAAGAGCUGCUUGUUUUUCACUCUCGAGAAAAAAAUAAAACAAAUAAUAAAACAGAGUUAAAUUUCGUAAUUUUACUCUCGGCGCACACCCAGCAACUCAUGUGAGAGACGUUGAAAGCUGCUUUAGAUAUUUUAUGUGCAUGCAUCGUACCUGAAUUUACAUCAUUUAAUGAUGUUGUUCGUAGUCAACAAGUGCGCGCGCCACUGUGUAUAUGGGUUAGAAACGCUCGGUAGUCGGUAGUGAUGGAGUGUAUGAUGUUUU